This 442-nucleotide ribosomal RNA is filed under the name uncultured bacterium. Its description in RNAcentral is "bacterial SSU rRNA". It matches the Rfam family "Bacterial small subunit ribosomal RNA", at positions 339 to 796 of the family's 1533-position model. The record is from RNAcentral.
CUACGGGAGGCAGCAGUGAGGAAUAUUGGUCAAUGGGCGAAAGCCUGAACCAGCAACGCCGCGUGAGGGAUGAAGGCCUUCGGGUCGUAAACCUCUUUUCUGGGAGAAGAGACAAGGACGGUAUCCCAGGAAUAAGUCUCGGCUAACUACGUGCCAGCAGCCGCGGUAAAACGUAGGAGGCAAGCGUUAUCCGGAUUUACUGGGCGUAAAGCGCACGCAGGCGGUUAUGUAAGUCGGACGUGAAAGCUCCUAGCUCAACUGGGAGAGGUCGUUCGAAACUGCAUAGCUUGAGGUUGGAAGAGGAGAGCGGAACUCCCGGUGUAGUGGUGGAAUGCGUAGAGAUCCGGAGGAACACCAGAGGCGAAGGCGGCGUCCUAGUUCUGGCCUGACGCUCAGACACGAAAGCAUGGGGAGCGAACGGGAUUAGAAACCCUUGUAGUCC